Scophthalmus maximus (turbot) is the source of this 1791-nucleotide long non-coding RNA. The record is from Ensembl. NCBI's taxonomy places the organism in Eukaryota, Metazoa, Chordata, Actinopteri, Pleuronectiformes, Scophthalmidae.
GCAGCUCUAGCAGCAACUCAAAUAACUGCUGCACAUCAGCUUCCCUGACAGCUCACAAUGAAGACAGCAAAUUAAACUCUCUGGACUCUUGUAUUGCUAUCAUGCCCUGGAAUGCUGUGAACAAUAUUUGUGAAUUUGGUACAGCAAGUUGUACAUGAAGAAGUCCAGGACCUGGAGGUUGUCUGCCACGGACCAGAGCACUGAGAGCAGACGAUCCCGUCAACAGCUAGAGAAGCAGGUCAGCAGAGGACCAGGACCACUUCCUAAAGAGUCAACGACAGCACAGCCUGACCCAUCAGCCGACAGACCUGCUUUGACACUAGAGCUAGGAAACCCUGUGCAGACAGUUUCUUCAUUGUUGUACAUAUGUUGUUUAUGCUUAUAUUAUAAUAUAUAUUUGGUAUAAUGUAUGAUGUUCCAAAAAAAAAGGUGUCAUGACACAUUGUGUUCUAAUUAUUUGUGCAGCUUGUAAAGAGGUAAAUGUAAUGGUUGGAUUGUUUAUGCUGAGAUUAUAAGGAGUUGCCCACAGCACUUUCUUUCCACGUCUGAGGGCAGUUCUGGCAGACACAAGUAGGUUGACCUGCAACGGGACGGCCCGGUGGAGCAGCAUCUGCUGAUGUGAGGUGUAGUAAGUGAAGCAGCAGGCUCGUGUCACGUCAAGCUCAGUCCUCGAGUUCUGGCCUGUAGAGUAACACAUGAUUAGAUUAGAUACAUGAUAAAUGAGUAGAUGUAUGAUUAGAUACAUUGAACAGAGUCUGGAGUAAACUCAGUCUGAGCUAACAACACUCAUCGUGGAAGCUCUGACGUGCUAAACAACAUGAGAUGAGUCCUGUACAACGUCCACCUUCAUUGUGUCACAGAUAGUAACAGAAAAAAAGGUCAGAAAGCUCUGAAAGUGCUGCAGCUGUUUCAUCGUCACAAUAUGGCUGAAAUGUGGUGAAGUUUAAAAAUAUAAACUCAAAACAAACGUUGUCUGUGUAGAACUGCUAACCGUGUUUAUGUUUUAGCUUAGCCUGUGGCAGCCUGUUGCUAACUAGCCAGCAACAAGUUACUGCAUCAGAACUCCAUUUUCAAUGAGAUUUCCCAACACUAAAAUGUGCCCACCGACAAUAGCCAAUAGUUUACGUUUAUAUUAUGAUAAUGUCCGGUGUUUUCUUACUUGUGAAUGAGCCAAGAGCAGUCAGUUAGCAUGUUGUGCUAACUGACUGCUCGGUCUGAUUCCUCCUCCGAUACAGUCAGAAUCAGACUGAGGCAGCGGUGCACUUUCAUGUGUUGAGGGGGAGGGGCUUUGGACAGAGGUCUGAAGGAAGCGAGUCGGAUUUUGCGGCAAUUUUCGAAAUCACCGACUCAACCUUUAAGCUGCAUCCAUCUUCGAAAUAUUUACCCUGGUUUUGCUAUGUCUUGUUUGAAUACCUGGCGACCCAUGUUGUGGAAAUUGAAAGGGGGGUAUGCAAAUGUUUCUUCAAUCUCUGAAGUCAUAUGGCCAUCUUAUGAUUAUGACAAUAAAACUUAUUAUAUGUAUUAAGCUGGGUCCUACUUCUUUAUCAAAUAAUGGAGCCCAGUCCUAAAAUGUGUGUGGAAUUCUUGUUUUAAGACAUUCCUUUUAGUAAUUAUUUUAAUUAGUCUGAUACUAAAACAGAUCACUGCAACAAAUUGGAAAGCCUUUGUUUAAAAUGCUUUUAUAUGUAUGUCAAAACUUGUGACCUCUAGGAGAGCUAUUACUGAAUGUCCACCUCUACAGUCAUAAAUAACACUGUCAUUUUUUUAUCAUAUGCAUACACAAAACUCCCG